AUCUGUUCUUAUCAGUUUAAUAUCUGAUACGUCCCCUACCCGGGGACCAUAUAUUAAAUUGAUUUUUGGAGCAGGGAGAUGGAAUAGGGGCUUGCUCCGUCCACUCCACGCAUCGACCUGGUAUUGCAGUAUUUCUAGGAACGGUGC
This is a small nuclear RNA of 147 nucleotides. Its record names the gene U2. It matches the Rfam family "U2 spliceosomal RNA". From Rfam's summary of the family: U2 is a small nuclear RNA (snRNA) component of the spliceosome (involved in pre-mRNA splicing). Complementary binding between U2 snRNA (in an area lying towards the 5' end but 3' to hairpin I) and the branchpoint sequence (BPS) of the intron results the bulging out of an unpaired adenosine, on the BPS, which initiates a nucleophilic attack at the intronic 5' splice site, thus starting the first of two transesterification reactions that mediate splicing. The record is from Ensembl.